This 1318-nucleotide long non-coding RNA is filed under the name Monodelphis domestica (gray short-tailed opossum). RNAcentral describes it as "lncRNA (ENSMODG00000032537.2)". Lineage: Eukaryota; Metazoa; Chordata; Mammalia; Didelphimorphia; Didelphidae. The record is from RNAcentral.
CCACCUCGUCUAGGAUUUCCACACUCCAACUCCCUCGUAGCCGCCUGCCUGCCUUCCUUCCCUCCCCACCCCCUCUCCUCAGUCUCUAAGGCGCUCUCCUCCCGAGCAAGAGCACGCGGCCCCCGCCUACCCACCCCCGCCCCGCGGCCCGCCCCGGCGGCUCCUCCUCCAGCCUCCUGGCCCGCCAGGUGCUCCGGGCCGCAGCGUCCAGCCCGCCCAGUCCCCCCCCUCCCCCCGCCAUAGCAGAGCGGCCCAAGGGAAGCCGGCACUGGAGGAAGGGAGAAUAGGGGGCGCGCGAGGAAUCUUCCCCAGCUCGGACUCCCCCCUCCCCGGCCACGCAUGCAAACGCAGGGAGAACCAUUCGACCGCACUUCCUACUCACCACAGGCCAGGGUCUCGGACCCGCUGUUCCAGCAGCGCAAUCCGAGCCCGGUGCCGGGAAGCGGGCUCACUGCUACUCCGAGAGCCGCCUGGGCCAGCGGUGGGAGCCGCUGAAGCGCCAAUUCAGACGUGUCCCCGGCGCCCCCCCUUCGGUCGCCUCCACAAUCCCUCAGGCUGGAGCAGAGGAGAAUGCCGGCCGGGUCGCGGCUGUUUACCACCCAGCCUGCACCGGGCGGGCUUCCGGAACUUAAGCAAAGGCGUUAAAAGGCUUCGGAGAACCCCCUUGAGGACGCUCAACAAAGACCCAAGCUUAGGACGUUUCUCCCCAACUUCCCACCAAAUAUCCCGGUCCCGUGGGCUUACCAGAUGGGGCCAGCCAAUGGCCGUCUUUGACCUUUCCUCCGGAGGCGACUCCUUCCUGUUCCGCAGGCCCAAAGGGACCCUUGUCUGCCGCACCGAGCAGGCCUCUCCGUCCAGUGCCGCCACUCCCGUGGCACUCCUUCCCUGCAGUCCCCAGCCUUCCUCCUCCACCACAGCCCCCGAGCCGACGCCUCAGCACUUCAAACGACGCUUCGGAUCCAAGAAGCCCCCUCAAGCCCCUUCGAGCGGUAACUUCGCAGCCAAAGUGGACACCCAGCGGCAUGGCUCGUCUUCCCCCCCGCCUGUCCCUGGAAACGUCCCCAGGGAGAGCCUCAGCAAUGGAGGCCGGCCUCCAGAGGAGGAAAGCCGGCCGUCGUCUGCUCCUGCUUCGCCCGCGUCCGCACGCGGCAUUCCGGGCUCUUCCAUGGCGGGACCAGAGCAGCGGCCUCCUCCCUGGGGGCUUCUGGGAGCUGUCCGUUCCCCUGUGCAUUUCUGUCAUGGAGAGGAGCACGCGGCCCUUUCCCUCUCCUCCAGAAAGAUGGGCUGCCUUGAGCCGGGCCUGCCCAGCAGCCAUUAG